RNAcentral lists this ribosomal RNA (446 nucleotides) under uncultured bacterium. RNAcentral describes it as "partial 16S ribosomal RNA". It matches the Rfam family "Bacterial small subunit ribosomal RNA", at positions 338 to 795 of the family's 1533-position model. The record is from RNAcentral.
CCUACGGGGAGCAGCAGUCGAGAAUCAUUCACAAUGGGGGAAACCCUGAUGGUGCGACGCCGCGUGGGGGAAUGAAGGUCUUCGGAUUGUAAACCCCUGUCAUGUGGGAGCAAAUUAAAAAGAUAGUACCACACGAGGAAGAGACGGCUAACUCUGUGCCAGCAGCCGCGGUAAUACAGAGGUCUCAAGCGUUGUUCGGAAUCACUGGGCGUAAAGCGUGCGUAGGCUGUUUCGUAAGUCGUGUGUGAAAGGCGCGGGCUCAACCCGCGGACGGCACAUGAUACUGCGAGACUAGAGUAAUGGAGGGGGAACCGGAAUUCUCGGUGUAGCAGUGAAAUGCGUAGAUAUCGAGAGGAACACUCGUGGCGAAGGCGGGUUCCUGGACAUUAACUGACGCUGAGGCACGAAGGCCAGGGGAGCGAAAGGGAUUAGAUACCCCUGUAGUC